AUUAAAUCGCCGUUAAAUUAGCCCUGAGUAGUACCUAAUAACUUUAAACUCAAAGAAUUUGGCGGCACCCCUACCUCUUAGAGGAGACUGCCCCGUAAUUGACGACCCACGAUGAACCCAACCUUCUUUUAAAGCUUGUAUACCGCCGUUAAGAUUAUAUUUGAAAAUAUAUUCGAAAUGAUGUUAAUAAAUACCUCAGGUCAAGGUGCAGCUUAUGGGAAGGUGAGAGGUGGGCUACAAUAAUUUAGGUUAGACGAAUUAGUGGAUUAAAUCUGCUAUGAAGGCGGAUUUAAGAGUAAGUUUAUUACUUAGUAAACUGGCCGGGUU
Molecule: ribosomal RNA, 327 nt
Filed under: Dabulamanzia improvida
Lineage: Eukaryota; Metazoa; Arthropoda; Insecta; Ephemeroptera; Baetidae
Description: partial 12S ribosomal RNA
Source: RNAcentral